CUGCAGUGCAUUAAAAAAAAAAAAGAUUUAGAGGGUUCUCUUGGCUUUUUCUCCUUCCCUUCUUCUUCGACCAAAUCCAGCAAGCCACCACCGUAACUCCGCCAUGGUGGUGGCCAGAAGUGCCAAAAUCGAGUCUUUUUGACCCCUUUCCAACCCCUUUCUUUUAUUUAAAAAAAACUUCGAAUACUACGUUUAUUUUAAGAAAUAAAGAGCGAGAUUCGUAAAAAACAAAUGAGGUUUCAACACCGUUCGAUCCCUCGCCCGAACCUUCACGUUUCCGAGGUAUUCGGGUUCUCAUCGGCGACGACUCAGGGCUAGGCAGGGUCAACGAAUAGGGAGCAGGUGGUGGCAAUCUAGAAUGCUAGGCCUCAGGCGAGGCGCAGGCGGGGUAACCGAAGGAGGAGCGACGCACAUGGGGUGUUAGGGUUAGGUUUCUAAAAAAUUUUUAAGUUUUUGGGCUAGGGUUUUUAGUUUUGGGCCUGUUUAGUUUUUAUUUAGGCUGAUGUAAGUGGAUUGUUUAAUAUUUGUUUUUUUGGUUGUUGGGCUCCAGGCAAAUUUGGGCAUUUGCAACUAUAACUAAAUGAGUUUAUAAUUAAUAGGCGAAAAGAUGGAACUUGCUUGUAAAUCUUUUGAGCCUAAUUAAAUAUGUCCAAUCAAUCCCUCUACUAGCUCGUUAAAACCAGCGUUAAAACCAGCGUUAAAACCAGAAA
This is a long non-coding RNA of Gossypium arboreum, 710 nucleotides long. RefSeq lists it as uncharacterized. The record is from RefSeq and is a predicted model, not a curated record. The transcript is spliced from 2 exons. NCBI's taxonomy places the organism in Eukaryota, Viridiplantae, Streptophyta, Magnoliopsida, Malvales, Malvaceae.